Molecule: non-coding RNA, 762 nt
Organism: Equus caballus (horse)
Lineage: Eukaryota; Metazoa; Chordata; Mammalia; Perissodactyla; Equidae
Source: RefSeq, a predicted model, not a curated record
ACUAAUUAGGGGUCUACUUGAGUCAUUCAGAUGAGAGUUACUAAAGGACUGACACUGGCAUUACCAGUGUCUCCAAAAACAGAGAGAUAAAUAGCAAUAAGAAUCAAAACAUGAAAACAUGACAACUGACUGAAUAGAACGAGAGGUGAGGGUUGCUGCCUGGCAGUGCCUACACAUUUGGAAAGGAGCCACAUCAUGCUGUUUGCUUUUGAUCCUCCGGGAAUGAUUCGACGCACUGCUGAGGCAAAAGGUGCCCGGGCAGAUCGGCAGCUGCCAAUCUCCUCUUCACAAAAUAUUGGGCCUGCAGCUCCUCAGAAGCACUGUACAAUUCUUAGUGAAAGGUUGACUUGGUAAUCAUAUGACGGAUCUCUCAGGCACAUAAGGCGCUCGUUUUCUCCUGUGCAACAGCUGUAAACAAAGGACUGCAUGUUCAAGAGAAGAAAACAAAAAUGGAAGAGUCAAAACACAUUAAACAAGCUUAAUUUGUUUGAGCAUAUUUUAUGCUCCUCAUCAUCCCCGGUGGUUUCCUGUUGUGAAAUGAUGCAUUUUGUUUUCAAAAUUACAAACUUGUGAUUAAAAAUAAGGCAUUUUUACUGUGAGGUCACAUUCCAGGCAUAUUAUCAUAUGUCUCCUUCUUAUGUGUGGCUUUCACCAGAAGAAAGACCCACUUUGUGUGCCUUUUUAUUUUAGGACCAUGUGAUGGCAGAGCCAUCUUGAAAUUCUUUUCAAAGAAUUUGCUACUUGCCAAAAUUCUGUGAAAUA